GAUGAACGCUGGCGGCGUGCUUAACACAUGCAAGUCGAACGAUGAAGCCCAGCUUGCUGGGUGGAUUAGUGGCGAACGGGUGAGUAACACGUGAGUAACCUGCCCUUAACUCUGGGAUAAGCCUGGGAAACUGGGUCUAAUACCGGAUAUGAGCGUCCACCGCAUGGUGGGUGUUGGAAAGAUUUAUCGGUUUUGGAUGGACUCGCGGCCUAUCAGCUUGUUGGUGAGGUAAUGGCUCACCAAGGCGACGACGGGUAGCCGGCCUGAGAGGGUGACCGGCCACACUGGGACUGAGACACGGCCCAGACUCCUACGGGAGGAAGCAGUGGGGAAUAUUGCACAAUGGGCGCAAGCCUGAUGCAGCGACGCCGCGUGAGGGAUGACGGCCUUCGGGUUGUAAACCUCUUUCAGUAGGGAAGAAGCGAAAGUGACGUUACCUGCAGAAGAAGCACCGGCUAACUACGUG
This 466-nucleotide ribosomal RNA is filed under the name uncultured bacterium. RNAcentral describes it as "partial 16S ribosomal RNA". It matches the Rfam family "Bacterial small subunit ribosomal RNA", at positions 28 to 507 of the family's 1533-position model. The record is from RNAcentral.